AGGGCUAUAGCCAAGCGGUAAGGCAGAAGGCUCUGACCCUUCGAUCGUUGGUUCGAAUCCAGCUAGCCCUGCCA
This 74-nucleotide transfer RNA is filed under the name Tenericutes bacterium GWA2_35_7. Its description in RNAcentral is "tRNA-Gln". It matches the Rfam family "tRNA". From Rfam's summary of the family: Transfer RNA (tRNA) molecules are approximately 80 nucleotides in length. RNAcentral also lists the same sequence under 12 other names. Lineage: Bacteria; Bacillati; Mycoplasmatota. The record is from RNAcentral.